UACGUAGGGGGCAAGCGUUGUCCGGAAUUAUUGGGCGUAAAGAGCGUGUAGGCGGCCAGAUAAGUCCGCUGUGAAAGUCCAGGGCUCAACCCUGGAAUGCCGGUGGAUACUGUCGGGCUCGAAUCCGGAAGAGGUGAGUGGAAUUCCACGUGUAGCGGUGAAAUGCGUAGAGAUGUGGAGGAACACCAGUGGCGAAGGCGACUCUCUGGUCUGUAACUGACGCUGAGGCGCGAAAGCGUGGGGAGCAAGCAGG
Molecule: ribosomal RNA, 253 nt
Filed under: uncultured bacterium
Lineage: Bacteria
Description: partial 16S ribosomal RNA
Rfam family: Bacterial small subunit ribosomal RNA
Source: RNAcentral